CAGAGGAGAGGCGUUUCCGUGCAGGGCGUCUCCCUUGGGGCGGGACUUCCGGCGUUUUCCUGGAGAUCUUUUCGGCGGCCCUCGGGCGGGUUCUGUCAGUCUGGUGUGCUGCGCUGGAACCUGAGUGACAGGCGACCAGGCGCUGCAGACUGUGACGCCGCUGAGAGCGGCAGCGCGCGGUCGCCGCCCCGGUGCCCCGCCAGGAGAGUAGGAUGGAGGCGGCCGCGCCGAGGGGCCCGGCCGGGUCUCUGUCCUGCCAGGGCAGGUGACCUUUCAAGAUGUGGCUGUGUACUUCUCUUGGGAGGAAUGGGAUCUUCUUGAUGAGGCUCAGAGACACCUGCACCUUGAGGUGAUGCUGGAGAACUUGGCACUUAUAUCCUCACUGGGUAAGUCCCUGGUAUCCACUGUUGUGGCCUGGGCUGCACUGCCUUUCUCCUUUUCCUUGGGAGCCGCUCUGUUCUCCUCUGAUCUCAUCCCCAGUUCCCUGGGCAGGUGCUGGGACUGAGUGCUUGCCUUCUUCCCUCCCCUUGUGGCCAUAAUUCCUGCUGCCCCAGAGCAUCAUGGACAAGGAUCAGUAGUCUCAAGUGACCCUAUCAGAUCCCACCUACUUGUCUUCUUCCUGUYUGGUGACUCUCUAGGUCCAUGCACGUUCUUUUCCUUUCUUAUAUCUGACGUUCAUCAGUGUUUAGUGUGCCAUGAAAUAUAGUCACUGACAUCAGUACUUAUUUAGCCUAUUUUUACAAGAACUUCCCCAAGGUGUUAUUUAUUUAUUUGAAUUGUGGUGAAAUAUAUAUGAUAUUUUAUCAUUUUAACUGUACAUUUCAUUGGUUUUAAAUACUUAAAAUUCACAUUAUUAUGUGACUAUCGCUACCUUUCUUCCAUAGAACUUUUUCAUCUUGCAAAGCUAAAACUCUAGUCACUAAGCAAUAAUUCCCUUCAUCUCUUACAAAGCACCAUUCUGCUUUCUUUCUGUGAAUUUGACCACUCUAAGUGUCUCAGGUGAGUAGAAUCAUAAAGUAUUUGUUCUUGUGUGGUAGGUUUUUCAAGGUCCAAGCCUGAAUUUCCUUUCAAGACUGAAUAGCAUUCCCUUGCAUGAUGUCCUACAUGUUGUUUAUCCAUCUGUCCACCUGUGUGUACUUGGAGCUACUGUGAAUAAUGCUUCAAUGAACACGAGUCUACAGAUACCUUUUCAUGUACUUGCUUUUAAUUCUGUGGACACAUAACCAGAGGUGGAAUUGCUGGAUCAUGUACUAAUUCUGUUUUUUAAGGCACAACCGUACUGUUUUUGUUGCAUCUACCAUCCUCUUUCCUUAGCCUCCCC
RNAcentral lists this long non-coding RNA (1321 nucleotides) under Urocitellus parryii (Arctic ground squirrel). RNAcentral's name for it is "lncRNA (ENSUPAG00010006333.1)". Lineage: Eukaryota; Metazoa; Chordata; Mammalia; Rodentia; Sciuridae. The record is from RNAcentral.